This 200-nucleotide unclassified non-coding RNA is filed under the name soil metagenome. RNAcentral's name for it is "partial contains internal transcribed spacer 2 and large subunit ribosomal RNA". The record is from RNAcentral.
AAAGCUGGCUCAUCUUAAAUGCAUUAGCUGGAUUUGUUUGAUACUAUGGUUCGACUUGGUGUAAUAAGUAUUUUGCCAAGGACAUCUCCUGUGGGUGGCCAGUAUCAGGCAGCAGUCUGCUUUCUAAUCUAUGAAUCUUUUCAGAGACAUGACUUUUAUUAUUUGGCCUCAAAUCAGGUAGGACUACCCGCUGAACUUAA